CUGCUGUAAAAAAGAACUCUUUCGCGAAGGCCUGCAGCUGGUGUUGACGCGAUGUGAUUUCUGCCCAGUGAUCUGAAUGUCAAAGUGAAGAAAUUCAAUGAAGCGCGGUAAACGGCAGGAGUAACUAUUACUCUUCUACGGUAGCCAAAUGCCUCGUCAUCUAAUUAGUGAUGCACAUGAAUGGAUGAACAAG
RNAcentral lists this non-coding RNA (193 nucleotides) under Myotis lucifugus (little brown bat). Its description in RNAcentral is "Eukaryotic large subunit ribosomal RNA". It matches the Rfam family "Eukaryotic large subunit ribosomal RNA", at positions 2138 to 2331 of the family's 3401-position model. Lineage: Eukaryota; Metazoa; Chordata; Mammalia; Chiroptera; Vespertilionidae. The record is from Rfam by way of RNAcentral.